RNAcentral lists this non-coding RNA (191 nucleotides) under Thermotalea metallivorans. RNAcentral's name for it is "Lysine sequence". It matches the Rfam family "Lysine riboswitch aptamer". Rfam says of the family: Riboswitches are metabolite binding domains within certain messenger RNAs that serve as precision sensors for their corresponding targets. Allosteric rearrangement of mRNA structure is mediated by ligand binding, and this results in modulation of gene expression. Lineage: Bacteria; Bacillati; Bacillota; Clostridia; Peptostreptococcales; Thermotaleaceae. The record is from Rfam by way of RNAcentral.
UUGUGUCUUAGAGGUUGCGAUAGAUAAAGAGUACUGUGUAGGAGACGGAGGCGGUCAAGGAUUACACGGGAAAGGUAUCGUCGCCGAAGCCCAUAGAUUUGCCUAGAUCUAUGUUGCUGGGGCUAUAUUGAAUAAAUAUAGAACUGUCACGAAUGGAUCACCCAGUCUAUUCGUGAAGCGCUAUUUCACAA